UAGUGAUAAUCUAGUAGAAUAAAAAUAUGAACUCCUAGGCACAGUUAUCGUAUGAUUUAGUCCUUCUAUCAUGAAUCCCGACUUGAUAGAGAUCAUAAAGAACUCAUCAGAUCCCAUCAUCAGUCAUAUGCUAGAUUAACUCGACUCAAGUUUAUUUAUGAAUCUCAUAAAAAAAAAUUUCAAUAUUCUCACUUGCUUUGAUCAAAGACUUUCUGAACUCAGUCUCACAAAUCAUAUAGGGCUUUUCUUUUUCUACCAAAGUCGAUAAAUUCUAUCUAGAUGCAUCCCACUCCAAACAACGAAUCUAAAUUUGCUAUAGCCAACAUACACAACAA
This 335-nucleotide long non-coding RNA is filed under the name Elaeis guineensis (African oil palm). RNAcentral describes it as "long non-coding RNA (EGUI_LNC027532)". The record is from RNAcentral. Lineage: Eukaryota; Viridiplantae; Streptophyta; Magnoliopsida; Arecales; Arecaceae.